AAGUGGAAGUGCCGUGAGGCAUGGAGCGGACCAUUACUAAUCGGUCGAGGACUUAACCAAG
RNAcentral lists this ribosomal RNA (61 nucleotides) under Limosilactobacillus reuteri. RNAcentral's name for it is "partial 23S ribosomal RNA". The record is from RNAcentral. Lineage: Bacteria; Bacillati; Bacillota; Bacilli; Lactobacillales; Lactobacillaceae.